UCAGUUUGAUCCUGGCUCAGGAUGAACGCUAGCGGCAGGCUUAACACAUGCAAGUCGAGGGGCAGCAUAAUGGAUAGCAAUAUCUAUGGUGGCGACCGGCGCACGGGUGCGUAACGCGUAUGCAACCUACCUUUAACAGGGGGAUAACACUGAGAAAUUGGUACUAAUACCCCAUAAUAUCAUAGAAGGCAUCUUUUAUGGUUGAAAAUUCCGAUGGUUAGAGAUGGGCAUGCGUUGUAUUAGCUAGGUUGGUGGGGUAACGGCUCGACCAAGGCGACGAUACGAUAGGGGGACUGGAGACGGUUAACCCCCCANACGUGGUACUGAGACACGGACCAGACUCCGUACGGGAGCU
RNAcentral lists this ribosomal RNA (355 nucleotides) under uncultured bacterium. RNAcentral's name for it is "bacterial SSU rRNA". It matches the Rfam family "Bacterial small subunit ribosomal RNA", at positions 1 to 349 of the family's 1533-position model. The record is from RNAcentral.